RNAcentral lists this ribosomal RNA (253 nucleotides) under uncultured bacterium. RNAcentral describes it as "partial 16S ribosomal RNA". It matches the Rfam family "Bacterial small subunit ribosomal RNA", at positions 524 to 776 of the family's 1533-position model. The record is from RNAcentral.
UACGUAGGGGGCUAGCGUUGUCCGGAAUCAUUGGGCGUAAAGCGCGUGUAGGCGGCCCGGUAAGUCCGCUGUGAAAGUCGGGGGCUCAACCCUCGAAAGCCGGUGGAUACUGUCGGGCUCGAGUGCGGAAGAGGCGAGUGGAAUUCCUGGUGUAGCGGUGAAAUGCGUAGAUAUCUGGAGGAACACCGGUGGCGAAGGCGGCAUCCUGGACCGGCAUUGACGCUGAGGAGCGAAAGCCAGGGGAGCAAACAGG